RNAcentral lists this ribosomal RNA (615 nucleotides) under uncultured Mortierella. RNAcentral describes it as "eukaryotic LSU rRNA". The stretch from base 162 to 315 matches the Rfam family "5.8S ribosomal RNA". The record is from RNAcentral. Lineage: Eukaryota; Fungi; Mortierellomycota; Mortierellomycetes; Mortierellales; Mortierellaceae.
UAUUCACAAACGAGUGUUUUAUGGCACUCUUUAAAAAUCCAUAUCCACCUUGUGUGCAAUGUUUGUUGGGAAAGUCCUUUCUUUCCCUUCAUAAAUAUCAACCUAUAUCUUUAACAACAUUCGUCUGAUAACAUAUUAUGAAUAUACUUAAUUCAAAAUAUAACUUUCAACAACGGAUCUCUUGGCUCUCGCAUCGAUGAAGAACGCAGCGAAAUGCGAUACGUAACGUGAAUUGCAGAAUUCAGUGAAUCAUCGAAUCUUUGAACGCAUAUUGCGCUCUUUGGUAUUCCGAAGAGCAUGCUUGUUUGAGUAUCAGUAAACACCUCAUAGCUUUUGGAUUUUUUUUGAAAGCUUUGGUCUUGAGCAAUCCCAACACCAAUCUUUUUUUAAGAUCGGUGGCGGGUUGCUUGAAAUGCAGGUGCAGCUGGACAUUCUCCUGAGCUAAAAGCAUAUUCAUUUAGUCCCGUCAAACGGAUUAUUACUUUUGCUACAGCUAACAUAAAGGGAGUUUGACCGUAUUGGCUGACUGAUGCAGGAUUUCACAAGGGUCGGCAACGAUUCUUGUUAAACUCGAUCUCAAAUCAAGUAAGACUACCCGCUGAACUUAAGCAUAUC